UCUUUGGAGAGUUUGAUCCUGGCUCAGGACGAACGCUGGCGGCGUGCCUAAUACAUGCAAGUCGAGCGGACCGGAUUGAGGCUUGCCUUGAUUCGGUCAGCGGCGGACGGGUGAGUAACACGUGGGCAACCUGCCCGCAAGACCGGGAUAACUCCGGGAAACCGGAGCUAAUACCGGAUAACACCGAAGACCGCAUGGUCUUUGGUUGAAAGGCGGCCUUUGGGCUGUCACUUGCGGAUGGGCCCGCGGCGCAUUAGCUAGUUGGUGAGGUAACGGCUCACCAAGGCGACGAUGCGUAGCCGGCCUGAGAGGGUGACCGGCCACACUGGG
Molecule: ribosomal RNA, 330 nt
Filed under: Geobacillus stearothermophilus
Lineage: Bacteria; Bacillati; Bacillota; Bacilli; Caryophanales; Anoxybacillaceae
Description: bacterial SSU rRNA
Rfam family: Bacterial small subunit ribosomal RNA
Source: RNAcentral